AAAGCACUGUAUUUUUACGUUGCUGAGGGUGGUUGCCAAGGGUGCUGCGCAGUGAUGCACAGAAUCGUUGGUUGUCCAAUUGGAAUCAAGGACUGCCACUAACACUUUUAAUUAUAAUAAAUAUAAUACACAUAAUAAUACAUUUUAUUAGUCAUGUUAGUCAUGACAUUUCAAGGUCUGUUAAUCGCUGAUAAAACUGAUGCCACACCGCUCAUUCGGGUACUGCGAGUCAUCUUGAACGGCUAUUACCUGGUGUGCACACUUUGGACAGCUUACUCAACAGUGCAUUAACUUUCUCAUCAGACCAGUCAUGGAGAAUCCUUGCAAGAAUGUACAAGUCUGCUUUAGAGUUCAUGUGCAUGUUGGGCAGCCAGACUCUGAUGACCUGAUUACACAGCACCGCAGACCUAUGGUCUGCAAAGCAACUUCAAAACCAAAACCGACAAUUUGUGGGACAGAAACCUUGUAAGUUAAUGGGUUAAAGGUGAGUUUGACCAGGUUAUCGUUGCCUUCUGAAGAAUAGCAGGCAAGACUCUCUGUAGGAUCAAUGGUUGCAUUUUAACGUAUAUUACUUUUGCUAGUCCAGUUAAACAGCUAACGUUAGAUAUGCAUGUAAAACCCUGGUAUGAUAAAGAACGGAAUUUACCAUAAUACAGUCAUAAGUGGCAUUAUUUGCCUCUUUAAAACAGAAUGUCACAAACUACAUGUAGUGUUUAUUUGUCUUGUGUUUCGUUCAUUUACCUGGAAACUCAGCAGCACUUUUCGCUUCCGACAACCAUGCACGCACUGACAGAGAUCCCGGAGAGGCGGCGUCUAUUUUCGCACAUGCGCAGUAAGCAAAGGACAACGUCACGAUCUACUGCGAUUUAUCCAAUGGAUUUACCACAGGUAAUGUUUUAUGAAGAAUUUAUUCUGUUAAACAUGUUUUGGAAAUUUUUAAACUUAAUAUUUUAUAUAAUAAUUUUGUAAACAGGAAAAUAAUUUUGCAUCUAGAUGUGGAAAUUUAUAUAAGUAGAAAAUUGGGUCGUGUGGUAGAAAUUGGUGUAUUUGACGUGUUUUAUAUUUUGUGAGAGAUGAUUUGGAAAGUAAUGAACAAUAUAUAAUAUAGUUAUUUAUUGUAUUUACACAGUACCAUGCACACAAAACAAAAUUCCCUUUGUAAAUCUAAUCUGUGACAUUUUAUGAAUGAUUUCAAAUUAUACAGUAGUACCCCUUUGGGAAAAAAAAUCCCAGAAAACAUGUCAUAUUUUAAAAGUACUCAAUUUUUUGUACUCUUCUUUUCUUCUCUUGAAACAUAUAUAAUUAAUACAUUUUGUUUAUUGCAAUAUAUGUUUUAUGCAAUUGAUUUCCAGAGAUAGCUAAUUGUUUUGGCCCCAAAAAUUUUUUUCAAAACUUGAUUGACGUUUAGUUGUUAAUUCAAUACAAUGAACAGUAUUACUUUACAGUGGAAUCAUAUUUAUCACAAAAACAGGUACUCACGUAUAUUUGAUCAAGUUUGUUACUUUAAUCGAUAAACUUUCACACAGUUUAGAAAUUAUGCAAUAUGUUUUGAAGGACCAUAUAUAUUGAAUCAUGUGACUUCUUGUGGUGUUUUUGCAUUGUUAUUUUAUUAUAUAGCCUAACCAACAACAGUUAUACUCUACGUUCAUAACUGUCUAUGGUAGCCAAGCAACGAAACAUCUUACAAUUUUCAUAUCACACCUUAUAGUAAAAACAAAUACCACACUUUUGCAACUAGCUAUUUCCUUUGUGUGGGUAUUUUGCUUGAUAGAGCAUUCAUUUGCUGUUCACUUUACAUCGGAAAAUUGCUUCAGGUGGCAUACAAUAUUGUUAUAAAUGAUGAUGAUGUCUAAGAAGCUUUUGAUAUUACUAGUUGGCAGAAUCAGUUUGUCCACUACAACAUGCAGUAAAAAGGAACUGAAAGAAAACUUGACCUGGCCCUGACAUUGCUAGUUAGAGCAAGUUGAUACAGUUUUACUUUAUAAUAUAAGUAGUGGCAACGAUUAAUCACAUACAAAAUAAAGUGAGUUUUUGCAUAAUAUAUGAGUGUGUGCUGUGUGUAAUUAUAUAAAUAGCCUAAACACACAUUCGUGUAUGUAUUUAAGAAACAUUAACGUGUGUAUAUAUGUUUAAUUAUAUAUUUUUAAAAAAUUUAAUAUAUGAUAUAUAUAAAAAAAUCUGAAAUGUAUUUGUUAAAUGUAUGAUUUUUUUUUCCGAGAUUAAUCGUUGCCCACUGUAACAUUUGUGCACAAUAAAGGGAUAUAAAUGUAUUUAUCAAAUAAAAAAACAAGAUAAAUGCACAUGUGACUUUAUAUUAGAAACACUCUAAAAACAAACAGUG
Long non-coding RNA from Misgurnus anguillicaudatus (oriental weatherfish), 2341 nucleotides. RefSeq lists it as uncharacterized. Lineage: Eukaryota; Metazoa; Chordata; Actinopteri; Cypriniformes; Cobitidae. The record is from RefSeq and is a predicted model, not a curated record.